UACCUUCAGGACAUUUGGCGGUAC
RNAcentral lists this non-coding RNA (24 nucleotides) under Arabidopsis thaliana (thale cress). The record is from RNAcentral. Lineage: Eukaryota; Viridiplantae; Streptophyta; Magnoliopsida; Brassicales; Brassicaceae.